RNAcentral lists this ribosomal RNA (337 nucleotides) under uncultured bacterium. RNAcentral's name for it is "bacterial SSU rRNA". It matches the Rfam family "Bacterial small subunit ribosomal RNA", at positions 28 to 334 of the family's 1533-position model. The record is from RNAcentral.
GACGAACGCUCGGCGGGCGUGCCUAACACAUGCAAGUCGAACGAAGCUUGACGUACGGACGUCCUUACGGGGACGAAGUAAGAUAUGACUGAGUGGCGGACGGGUGAGUAACGCGUGAGUAACCUGCCCUUCAGAGGGGAAUAGCGUUUGGAAACAGAUGCUAAUACCGCAUAACAACACUAGACGCAUGUCUAGAGUUUGAAAGACGGCUCUGCUAUCACUCUUGGAUGGACCUGCGGUGCAUUAGCUAGUUGGUAAGGUAACGGCUUACCAAGGCAAUGAUGCAUAGCCGAGUUGAGAGACUGAUCGGCCACAUUGGGACUGAGACACGGUCCAA